Molecule: small RNA, 97 nt
Filed under: Marmota monax (woodchuck)
Lineage: Eukaryota; Metazoa; Chordata; Mammalia; Rodentia; Sciuridae
Source: RNAcentral
GCUCACUUCAGUAACAUAUAAAAUUGGAAUGAUACAGAGAAGAUUAGCAUGGAACAAAAUGAAAUAUUAAUCUCUUUGAUCUCAUAAUACCAUUUUU